This 254-nucleotide ribosomal RNA is filed under the name uncultured bacterium. RNAcentral's name for it is "partial 16S ribosomal RNA". It matches the Rfam family "Bacterial small subunit ribosomal RNA", at positions 524 to 776 of the family's 1533-position model. The record is from RNAcentral.
UACGGAGGGUGCAAGCGUUGCUCGGAAUCAUUGGGCGUAAAGGGUAGGUAGGUGGUCUUAUUUGUCUGGGGUGAAAGCCUUGAGCUUAACUCAAGAAGUGCCUCGGAAACGGUAAGACUUUGAGUCUCGGAGAGGGUCGUGGAAUUCCCGGUGUAGCGGUGAAAUGCGUAGAGAUCGGGAGGAACACCAGCGGCGAAGGCGGCGACCUGGACGAGCACUGACACUCAACUACGAAAGCGUGGGGAGCAAACAGG